RNAcentral lists this ribosomal RNA (330 nucleotides) under uncultured bacterium. RNAcentral's name for it is "bacterial SSU rRNA". It matches the Rfam family "Bacterial small subunit ribosomal RNA", at positions 1 to 334 of the family's 1533-position model. The record is from RNAcentral.
AUAGUAGUGUCAGAGUUUGAUCCUGGCUCAGGAUGAACGCUGACAGAAUGCUUAACACAUGCAAGUCGACUCGGAGUCUUCGGACUUGGGUGGCGCACGGGUGAGUAACGCGUAAAGAACUUGCCUCUUAGACUGGGACAACAUCUGGAAACGGAUGCUAAUACCGGAUAUUAUGGUUUCUUCGCAUGGAGGAAUCGUGAAAGCUAGAUGCGCUAAGAGAGAGCUUUGCGUCCCAUUAGCUGGUUGGUGAGGGUAACGGCCCACCAAGGCGACGAUGGGUAACCGGCCUGAGAGGGUGAACGGUCACAUUGGAACUGAGACACGGUCCUA